RNAcentral lists this ribosomal RNA (253 nucleotides) under uncultured bacterium. RNAcentral describes it as "partial 16S ribosomal RNA". It matches the Rfam family "Bacterial small subunit ribosomal RNA", at positions 524 to 776 of the family's 1533-position model. The record is from RNAcentral.
UACGAAGGUCCCAAGCGUUAUCCGGAUUUAUUGGGUUUAAAGGGUGCGUAGGCGGGCUAUUAAGUCAGUGGUGAAAUCUCCGGGCUCAACCCGGAAACUGCCAUUGAUACUAUUAGUCUUGAAUUUUGUUGAGGUAGGCGGAAUAAGUCAUGUAGCGGUGAAAUGCAUAGAUAUGACUUAGAACACCAAUUGCGAAGGCAGCUUGCUAAACAAACAUUGACGCUGAGGCACGAAAGCGUGGGGAUCAAACAGG